This 506-nucleotide ribosomal RNA is filed under the name uncultured bacterium. RNAcentral's name for it is "partial 16S ribosomal RNA". It matches the Rfam family "Bacterial small subunit ribosomal RNA", at positions 28 to 523 of the family's 1533-position model. The record is from RNAcentral.
GAUGAACGCUAGCUACAGGCUUAACACAUGCAAGUCGAGGGGUAACGAGAGGAAAGCUUGCUUUCCUUGUCGACGACCGGCGCACGGGUGAGUAACGCGUAUCCAACCUGCACCCAACUAGGGAAUAACCUUGCGAAAGUAAGACUAAUACCCUAUAAUUUCCUCAGAUGUCAUCUGACGAGGAAUAAAGAUUUAUCGGUUGUGGAUGGGGAUGCGUCUGAUUAGCUUGUUGGCGGGGUAACGGCCCACCAAGGCAACGAUCAGUAGGGGUUAUGAGAGGAAGGUCCCCCACAUUGGAACUGAGACACGGUCCAAACUCCUACGGGAGGCAGCAGUGAGGAAUAUUGGUCAAUGGGCGGAAGCCUGAACCAGCCAAGUAGCGUGCAGGAUGACGGCCCUAUGGGUUGUAAACUGCUUUUAUACAGGAAUAAAGUUAGCCACGUGUGGUUAUUUGUAGGUACUGUAUGAAUAAGGACCGGCUAAUUCCGUGCCAGCCGCCGCAGUAA